This 1364-nucleotide ribosomal RNA is filed under the name uncultured Actinomycetes bacterium. Its description in RNAcentral is "uncultured actinobacterium partial 16S ribosomal RNA". It matches the Rfam family "Bacterial small subunit ribosomal RNA", at positions 29 to 1400 of the family's 1533-position model. Lineage: Bacteria; Bacillati; Actinomycetota; Actinomycetes. The record is from RNAcentral.
ACGAACGCUGGCGGCGUGCUUAACACAUGCAAGUCGAACGGAAAGGCCCUGCUUUUGUGGGGUGCUCGAGUGGCGAACGGGUGAGUAACACGUGAGUAACCUGCCCUUGACUUUGGGAUAACUUCAGGAAACUGGGGCUAAUACCGGAUAGGAGCUCCUGCUGCAUGGUGGGGGUUGGAAAGUUUCGGCGGUUGGGGAUGGACUCGCGGCUUAUCAGCUUGUUGGUGGGGUAGUGGCUUACCAAGGCUUUGACGAGUAGCCGGCCUGAGAGGGUGACCGGCCACAUUGGGACUGAGAUACGGCCCAGACUCCUACGGGAGGCAGCAGUGGGGAAUAUUGCACAAUGGGCGGAAGCCUGAUGCAGCAACGCCGCGUGCGGGAUGACGGCCUUCGGGUUGUAAACCGCUUUCGCCUGUGACGAAGCGUGAGUGACGGUAAUGGGUAAAGAAGCACCGGCUAACUACGUGCCAGCAGCCGCGGUGAUACGUAGGGUGCGAGCGUUGUCCGGAUUUAUUGGGCGUAAAGGGCUCGUAGGUGGUUGAUCGCGUCGGAAGUGUAAUCUUGGGGCUUAACCCUGAGCGUGCUUUCGAUACGGGUUGACUUGAGGAAGGUAGGGGAGAAUGGAAUUCCUGGUGGAGCGGUGGAAUGCGCAGAUAUCAGGAGGAACACCAGUGGCGAAGGCGGUUCUCUGGGCCUUUCCUGACGCUGAGGAGCGAAAGCGUGGGGAGCGAACAGGCUUAGAUACCCUGGUAGUCCACGCUGUAAACGGUGGGUACUAGGUGUGGGGUCCAUUCCACGGGUUCCGUGCCGUAGCUAACGCUUUAAGUACCCCGCCUGGGGAGUACGGCCGCAAGGCUAAAACUCAAAGGAAUUGACGGGGCCCCGCACAAGCGGCGGAGCAUGCGGAUUAAUUCGAUGCAACGCGUAGAACCUUACCUGGGUUUGACAUGGAUCGGGAGUGCUCAGAGAUGGGUGUGCCUCUUUUGGGGUCGGUUCACAGGUGGUGCAUGGCUGUCGUCAGCUCGUGUCGUGAGAUGUUGGGUUAAGUCCCGCAACGAGCGCAACCCUUGUUCACUGUUGCCAGCACGUUAUGGUGGGGACUCAGUGGAGACCGCCGGGGUCAACUCGGAGGAAGGUGGGGAUGACGUCAAGUCAUCAUGCCCCUUAUGUCCAGGGCUUCACGCAUGCUACAAUGGCUGGUACAGAGAGUGGCGAGCCUGUGAGGGUGAGCGAAUCUCGGAAAGCCGGUCUCAGUUCGGAUUGGGGUCUGCAACUCGACCUCAUGAAGUCGGAGUCGCUAGUAAUCGCAGAUCAGCAACGCUGCGGUGAAUACGUUCCCGGGGCUUGUACUCACCGCCCGUCAA